Long non-coding RNA from Micropterus salmoides (largemouth bass), 1566 nucleotides. RefSeq lists it as uncharacterized. The transcript is spliced from 3 exons. Lineage: Eukaryota; Metazoa; Chordata; Actinopteri; Centrarchiformes; Centrarchidae. The record is from RefSeq and is a predicted model, not a curated record.
UUAAAAAACUGUCGAUAAACAUCGUUGUGAGCUAGCUAACCAAUUUAUCAUGUAAUUUUCCUAGAACUUACAGUAAUUAUGUCUGUCUGUGUCUGAUGGUCUGUUUGUCUUUCUAAUUUAGUUAACGUUAGCUAAGUUAACUAGCAUAGUUAUUGCAGAAAGUUAGCUAACCGAGGGUCUUCAUUUUAUUUUUGAGUUUCCUCCUCUUGGUUUAGUGUGCUGUUCAUUUUCAUUAUGGCAUGUGUGCGUGCGGUGUUGUAAUGAGUGGUGGACAUCUUGGGUUGGAGGACAGAUGACAGAAAACGAGUCGCACUUUCACCUGCAACCUUUUUAUACAGUCAGCAAUAACGUUACGCAUUUUACUGUCGGCCGUUUCACCGAUGCAUCGGCAGAGGAAAUGGUAUCAGAAGUCUGGAGCUGAGGAGCGAUGCUAUCACUAUCAGCGUUGCUGAAACGAAAGGAAGGACCUGAAUCUGUGGAGACCAGCCAUUAUUAAACAUUAAAAAUGAUCUGUACUCGACUGCAGCUUCUUCCACUCUAACUGAGAUGUGAUGGUGAAGCACGUUCAGAACAUCCAUGAACACAGCACGCUGGAACCAGCUACAACAUACCUUAUACGUAUACGCAUCAGCCCUCAUGGAGUCCACUGCACCUUCCCCGCUUAGCAGAUUGGCCAAAAGAUCCUCAUGGAUGGAUGAGGCAGUCGGCCUUUGUCGGUUAACGGUUUAACACUGGACAUAAAUGUGAAACCAGCACAGAAGUCUUGGUUCACGGUUUUCAGGUUAAGAUCUUUAUUAAUGAAGGCAAAGCUAGAUCAGUCCUACAAUUAAUAUUAUCCUCAGCCAAAGACAUACUCAGUCACAUUUGUCUAUUUGUAAGAUAUCUAAAAAGCAUCUCUAAAAGAGAGAUUUAGAUGAAAUCUAAUAAACAAAUAUGUCUCAGCCAACGCUGGAGGUGUGACUUUUGAUGUUCUCAACAUUGCAAGAAACUAUUUUGUUUUGUCACUGUACUCAGUCAAAAGAAUGGUCUGUGGGUAUUUUCAUGUAGAGCCAGUAAUUGUUAUUUAAAAUAUUUUCUAUUAAUAAAAACUUGAGAAUUGUACAGCUUUGGUUUGCUGUUGAGUCUUUUCUAGUUUAAUAUGUUUCAUUUUGACCAUACCCAUUUAGUGCAUCAACACAUAUUUUAAAAAGUUUGUGUUAUUGUUAAUUGCAAUUCAUGAAUAUUAGAUUACAUUAAAUGUGAUUAAUUUUAUUGUCAACCUAAUGAGGCUGUAUAAAAUGCUUAAAUACCCCAUUCUUCAGGACACAACAAAUAAAGGUAAGGACUUCAUAAUGUGCCUGCCUUAGGCCUGCCUAAGCUGUAUGACAUGCUUAGUACUAUAGGGACAUAAUAUCUACAGCUAAAGCUGGUGAAAAUAUCUGAUAGCCUACAUAAACAGAACUCCGUUUUAAUCUCUCCAGUUUACUAUUUAUCCUCUUAGUAAAAUUCACAACAAGUCAACUUUACAUGCAGAAGAUCAAGUAUACGGUUGUAUUGUAACUGUAUAGACAAAAAUAGCACAGUUGA